Molecule: long non-coding RNA, 1049 nt
Filed under: Cricetulus griseus (Chinese hamster)
Lineage: Eukaryota; Metazoa; Chordata; Mammalia; Rodentia; Cricetidae
Description: lncRNA (ENSCGRG00015031088.1)
Source: RNAcentral
UAUCUCACCAGGUGGUAGUGAAACUCACCAGCCCCUGGGCCUCUGAUUAUCUGUGCUAUACGUAGAGAACUGUUUGUGGGGAUUACAACCUCUCCUAUGAUUUGAGGAUUUUACAAAUGAAAAACACCUUUGAGAAAGUUCCUGCCUUCUUCUCAGCUACAACCCAGCCUCAAGACAAGGGAACAAUAGUGCUGUAUGUUUCAAAUAUAGGAUGCCUGAGCCACAGAGAGAACCAACAGAUGUGGACAUCUUGAGAAUGCCUGACACAUCCUUUCAAUUAGCCUUUGAUCCCGAACUGGACCUUUCCUUCAGAUACCAACAAGAAUUAACAUGAAAAAGAUCCACCUCUCCCAGACAGAAGCCCUUCCAGUCUGUGUUGAUGCCUUUUAUGCAAUUUCAUGAUACUCAUAAGCUUGUCACAUUCCUAUCAGAGGUGCUUGGCAUAGGAAGUGUCUUUUGGUGAUCCCCCUCAGUUUUUAAAUAAAUGAACACCUUUUAAAGCACAAAAGAGAAAAUGGCAGGACAUACGAAGGCAGAACAGGCGUGUCCCAUAGAUUUUUCUUUUUUUAGUAUUAACCCCUUUUAUGCACAUAAUGAGUGAGAUAUGUUUUCAGGGACCAUCUCUAUAGCUUAUUACUGAGUGUGAUAUACAUGUAGUUAUCAUCAUAAAAAGCUUUGAAAGCCACUGAGCAUGACAUUUUAGUGAAAAAACAAGGUUAUUUUAAAUGUUUUGUUUGGGUGCCAAGGCAUAACCGGAACUCCUGGGCUUAUGUGAUCCUUCUUUGUUUUGUUUUAUGUUUUGAACUGUCUGAGGGCCUCCUGGCAGUAGGACCACAAUACAAACCUGGUAUAUGAAGUAGCUUGGUGGAGCCCAGUCCCUAAGGUGAGAUGCUAUGCUCAGCCUUAAUGUAUGCAAGAAGGGCUUGGCCCAACCCCAGCCUAUUGUGCCAGACUUUGCUGAUACCUCAUUCGAAGGAGUGAACUGGGGAUGGGUUGGGGGAGAGUCAAGGGGAGACAGGAGGAACGGUGGGAGGGAGAACUGGUUGGGG